Molecule: non-coding RNA, 72 nt
Organism: Lachnoanaerobaculum sp. ICM7
Lineage: Bacteria; Bacillati; Bacillota; Clostridia; Lachnospirales; Lachnospiraceae
Source: Rfam
GUUCUCUUAGUUAAAUGGAUAUAACGAUAGCCUCCUAAGCUGUAAUUGUGGGUUCGAUUCCCGCAGGGAACA